This 76-nucleotide transfer RNA is filed under the name Rickettsiales bacterium Ac37b. RNAcentral describes it as "tRNA-Ala (GGC) (tRNA-Ala-GGC-1-1)". It matches the Rfam family "tRNA". From Rfam's summary of the family: Transfer RNA (tRNA) molecules are approximately 80 nucleotides in length. Their secondary structure includes four short double-helical elements and three loops (D, anti-codon, and T loops). The record is from RNAcentral. Lineage: Bacteria; Pseudomonadati; Pseudomonadota; Alphaproteobacteria; Rickettsiales.
GGGGCCAUAGCUCAGUUGGUAGAGCGUUUGAAUGGCAUUCAAAAGGCCGGGAGUUCGAUUCUCCCUGGCUCCACCA